CAAAAUGUAGUUAAACUAAAACAUUUCACUUACACCGAAAAAAUAUCUGUUACACCCAGAUCAUUUUGA
RNAcentral lists this transfer RNA (69 nucleotides) under Crotaphatrema lamottei. Its description in RNAcentral is "tRNA-Val". It matches the Rfam family "tRNA". Rfam says of the family: Transfer RNA (tRNA) molecules are approximately 80 nucleotides in length. Their secondary structure includes four short double-helical elements and three loops (D, anti-codon, and T loops). Lineage: Eukaryota; Metazoa; Chordata; Amphibia; Gymnophiona; Scolecomorphidae. The record is from RNAcentral.